RNA transcript from Rattus rattus (black rat), 529 nucleotides. It is a transcript of the gene named 60S ribosomal protein L12-like, with no coding region annotated. The transcript has a single exon. The record is from RefSeq and is a predicted model, not a curated record. NCBI's taxonomy places the organism in Eukaryota, Metazoa, Chordata, Mammalia, Rodentia, Muridae.
AUGCCGCCCGAGUUCGACCCCAAUGAGAUCAAAGUCGUGUACUUGAGGUGCACCGGAGGCGAGGUCCGUGCCACAUUCACCUUGUCCCCUAAGAUUAGUCCUCUGGGUCUAUCUCCCAAAAAAAGUUGGUGAUGACAUCGCCAAGGCUACCAGUGACUGGAAAGGCCUCAGGAUUACAGUGAAACUGACAAUCCAGAGCAGACAGGCUCAGACUGAGGUGGUGCCCUCUGCGUCUGCCCUGAUCAUCAAAGCCCUCAAGGAGCCACCAAGAGACAGGAAGAAGCAGAAAAACAUUAAACACAGUGGAAACAUAACUUUUGAUAAGAUUGUCAACACUGCCCGGCAGAUGAGACACCAGUCUUUGGCCAGAGAACUUUCUGGAACUAUCAAGGAGAUCCUGGGUACCGCACAGUCUGUGGGCUGCAAUGUGGAUGGCCACCACCCUCAUGACAUCAUAGAUGACAUCAACAGUGGUGCAGUGGCGUGCCCAGCUAAUUAAGAAGAAACAAGAAAAUAUUUAAAUAAAAGA